CUUCUCUAAAAUUAGGUCUUUAAUGCCUCUGGGAUAUGUGGCAAACUUAAAAUUUUACUGGAAGCCCACAGAGUAUUAGUGAGUGGGAAAUGUGCCUCAAAAAAGUCAUUUGUUUAGCAUAGGAGAAGUCUGCUCUGUCAAAACCUGCAGCUACGGAGUCAGAAGAGGAAGAGUGGCUGCUGGGGGAAGGUGUGAUGCCACCUGAUACUGAGAAAAAGCAGAUUCCAAAAUUUGCCUCAUCACUGGAAUCAGGAAGAUGCUUUAAAAAGGACAGAGAGAUCUUUUGUCAAACUGAGACCUACUGAAUAGCACCAGGAAAGACCUUGGCACAACUCCAACACAUGACCAUAUAAACACACAACAGAAGAGAACAGAGGCUGUUCAAAGACACAGAUCUAUGUAGCCUGGUGGAUGGAUCCAGGGGAACGACUUGUUCUGGAUUGAAUCUGGAUCCCGUCAGAUUCACUGAAUCAAAAUUUUCAGCUGUGGGCUCAGAUGGCACAAGUUGAAGACUACUCCAAGUGCUUCGGAUGGAUGCCAAACCUGAAAUCCACAGAUCCAUCUUCUCUUUCACUGAUACAAAUACUCAAAUUUACUACCGAGGUGCAUCUUCCUGUAGAUGAUACGUGUGAUUCUACAAAUGGAGAAAUGUGGAGCAGAUGCAGACACAGGGAGAACUCUUUGUGAAGAUGAAGGCAGAGAUCAGGGUGAGGUUUCUACACACCAAGGAACUCCAGUGAUCACCAGCAGACCACCAGAAGCUGAGGAAGAGACGUGGGAGCAAUCUUCUCUGCACAGCCAGAAGGAACCAACCUUGCUGAUACCUUGGUCUUAGACAUCUGGCCUCCAGAACCAUGACAAUAAAUUUCUGUUCUGUAUCUAGUCAGUUGUGGUACUUUGCUAUGGCAGCUCUGGUAAAGCAAUACACCACCAAACAUGUCCUGAGAUGGGCAGAUUUUACUGAAGAUAUUUGGAUGG
Long non-coding RNA from Bos taurus (domestic cattle), 978 nucleotides. The record is from Ensembl. Lineage: Eukaryota; Metazoa; Chordata; Mammalia; Artiodactyla; Bovidae.